GUAACACGUGAGUAACCUGCCCCUGACUCUGGGAUAAGCGUUGGAAACGACGUCUAAUACUGGAUAUGAUCACUGGCCGCAUGGUCUGUGGUGGAAAGAUUUUUUGGUUGGGGAUGGACUCGCGGCCUAUCAGCUUGUUGGUGAGGUAAUGGCUCACCAAGGCGACGACGGGUAGCCGGCCGAGAGGGUGACCGGCCACACUGGGACUGAGACACGGCCCAGACUCCUACGGGAGGCAGCAGUGGGGAAUAUUGCACAAUGGGCGAAAGCCUGAUGAGCAACGCCGCGUGAGGGAUGACGGCCUUCGGGUUGUAAACCUCUUUUAGUAGGGAAGAAGCGAAAGUGACGGUACCUGCAGAAAAAGCACCGGCUAACUACGUGCCAGCAGCCGCGGUAAUACGUAGGGUGCAAGCGUUGUCCGGAAUUAUUGGGCGUAAAGAGCUCGUAGGCGGUUUGUCGCGUCUGCUGUGAAAUCCCGAGGCUCAACCUCGGGCUUGCAGUGGGUACGGGCAGACUAGAGUGCGGUAGGGGAGAUUGGAAUUCCUGGUGUAGCGGUGGAAUGCGCAGAUAUCAGGAGGAACACCGAUGGCGAAGGCAGAUCUCUGGGCCGUAACUGACGCUGAGGAGCGAAAGCAUGGGGAGCGAACAGGAUUAGAUACCCUGGUAGUCCAUGCCGUAAACGUUGGGCGCUAGAUGUAGGGACCUUUCCACGGUUUCUGUGUCGUAGCUAACGCAUUAAGCGCCCCGCCUGGGGAGUACGGCCGCAAGGCUAAAACUCAAAGGAAUUGACGGGGGCCCGCACAAGCGGCGGAGCAUGCGGAUUAAUUCGAUGCAACGCGAAGAACCUUACCAAGGCUUGACAUACACCGGAAACGGCCAGAGAUGGUCGCCCCCUUGUGGUCGGUGUACAGGUGGUGCAUGGUUGUCGUCAGCUCGUGUCGUGAGAUGUUGGGUUAAGUCCCGCAACGAGCGCAACCCUCGUUCUAUGUUGCCAGCGGGUUAUGCCGGGGACUCAUAGGAGACUGCCGGGGUCAACUCGGAGGAAGGUGGGGAUGACGUCAAAUCAUCAUGCCCCUUAUGUCUUGGGCUUCACGCAUGCUACAAUGGCCGGUACAAAGGGCUGCGAUACCGUAAGGUGGAGCGAAUCCCAAAAAGCCGGUCUCAGUUCGGAUUGAGGUCUGCAACUCGACCUCAUGAAGUCGGAGUCGCUAGUAAUCGCAGAUCAGCAACGCUGCGGUGAAUACGUUCCCGGGCCUUGUACACACCGCCCGUCAAGUCAUGAAAGU
RNAcentral lists this ribosomal RNA (1286 nucleotides) under Curtobacterium poinsettiae. RNAcentral's name for it is "bacterial SSU rRNA". It matches the Rfam family "Bacterial small subunit ribosomal RNA", at positions 110 to 1411 of the family's 1533-position model. The record is from RNAcentral. Lineage: Bacteria; Bacillati; Actinomycetota; Actinomycetes; Micrococcales; Microbacteriaceae.